RNAcentral lists this long non-coding RNA (2823 nucleotides) under Carica papaya (papaya). RNAcentral describes it as "long non-coding RNA (CPAP_LNC015958)". Lineage: Eukaryota; Viridiplantae; Streptophyta; Magnoliopsida; Brassicales; Caricaceae. The record is from RNAcentral.
UGCCUCCUCUAAAAGAUUCUGAAAAUCUUUUCUCUUUCACUUUCUCUUGUCUUCAAUAAUCAUAACACUCUAAACUUCCACCAUUAAAUCCUUCAUUUGUAACACGUAAUGAUGCCAAUCCUUUUUCUCAACAUUCUUCGCUUUUCUCCUCUUGGUUCCUUGGAAACUUCCAUUUAAAGGUUUUUGUUUUUAUUUGUCUUUUUUUUUGUACUCUCAGUGAUCCUUUUUUGUUUUAUUAUAUUUUUUGACUUAGCAUUAAUUUUUUUUCAAAAUUUCUUUUUGUGUUGUUGGGUUGUUAAAAGGGAUUAGAUUUGAUGGGUCAAUGGCGGACAUGGGUGAAGCGAGGAAGAUGGAGAACGGUGAGAUAGUUGUGGAGACAAGCUUUACGCGUACCGUGGGUUGGGAGCAUCAAGGAAGCUUUGGAGGAGUUGAAGCUCAAUCCUCUCCAUCUUCUCAUGGGAUGAUAAGAUUUCGGGUGCACCUCAUUAUGCAUAUAGAGUUGACUGUUGACGGUAAAAUAUGUGGUUUUUCUUUAUCAUUAAUUCUUCUUGAUUUGAUAUCCGUAUCUUAUUGAUUUGUUUUCUAAUGUUUUUGCGUGGUUGAAGGAUAAAGGUCAUCCCUCCUCGCUCGUGCAGCUUGUAGUCAUCCUCAUGCAGCCUGUAUUACUUGCUCUUAUAAAUAAUUUGGUUAUGGUAGAAGAUCAUCGGGCAUCGCACUUCCAAAUCUCUGCCCAUUGUGAGUCUUUAUAAUCCUUUAAUUUUCAGUUUUUGAUUGUAUUUAUUUCUUAUUUGAUCAUUUUUACAUGGUAUUGUAGAAUUAUAUUGCACAUGCUUAAAUUUCGUGAAAGUGGAGGUAGGUAUGGUUCUUUAGAUCUAAUAGAAAGAAAUGAAAAAACUGAUUAUAAUUUCGUAUCAUAGAAAAUCUAAGAAAUUUAGAAACAAAUAAAUCAAAUAAAACGAAACAAAAAAAGAAAAUGACUAUCAAUUUAGAAAUAAUACAAAAAAAUAGAAAGAAAUGAAAAAAAAUGAACUAUCAAUUUUGAAAUUAUCCCAGAAUAAAAAUUUACUAUCAAAUAUGAAAAAAGAAGCCCAUAUAAAGAAAUUUAGAAAUAAUUAAUUUAAUAAGAAAUAAUAAAUAAUUUAUUAAAUUGAAUCCAGAAACAAAAAAAUCAAUCAAAAGAAACAAAAAGAUUUAAACAGAAAUUAAUUUAGAAAUAAGCCCACGUAUAGAAAUCUAGAAAUAAAAAAUAAUUUAGUAAAUUGCAUCCAGAAACAAGAAAUCAUCAAAAUUAAUUUAGAAAAAAACAAAGAAAAAAAUGAAUUAUCAAAUUAGAAAUAAUAUGAGAAAAAAUUGAUUAUCAAAUAUGAAAUAAUAACUAGAAAUAAUAAAUAAUUUUGUAAGAAAUAAUAAGCUAGAAAAAAGAAGAAGCCCAUAUUAAUUUAAGGUUUAGGGUUUAGAUGCUGGGGUCUAAUGGUUCAGGGUUGAGGGUGCAGGUGCACACCUAUAGACUGUUAAUUUUUCUUUUUCUUUUUUGUCAAAUAUCUCCUUUUUGCUGCGUAUAUGUGAUCGUAGUUUUAAUUUAUUUAAAACCAGCAAGAAGUUAUUCUUUCUUUAUUCAAGGUAAAAAGAUGUGGAGAAACAUAAUCAUCAUAUGUUAUUUUAAUCUCUUACUUUAGUACUUUACAUGCCUAGUUUGAGGAGUAAAGUAAUUUGCACGAUAUGUUGAUGCUUAAUCCUAUGAAACUAUUAUAAGGAAAUUUAAGUUGACUAUCAGCAGGAUGAUGCCAGUGAAAUCAAUUGCUCUCUUGUAGAUCUAUUUGGUCCUCACCUUAUAGUUAUAGUGACUGAAAAAUGUGGUUUAUAAUUAUUCUUAUUGAUUUGGUUUUCAAUACUUUUGCGUUGCUCUAGGAGAAUGGUUGUCUCCCCUAUUGUUGCUUGUAGAGGAUCAUCGGGCACAACAGUUUCAAAUCUCUGCCCAUUGUGAGUGUUUUAUAAUUCUUUAUUUUUUUUUUGUUUUUGAAUAUUAUAAAAAAAUCUUGUAUUUAUUUGUUAUUUUAUCAUUUUUACAUCAUAAUCUAAAAUUAUAAUGCACAUGCUUAAAUUUGUUAAAAUUCUUCUAGAUAUCUUGUUAAUUUUGUGAAUAUGGAAGUAGAUAUGGUUCUUUAGAUUUACAUGAAAGAACUGAAAACAUUAAUAGGGGUUAGGGGGUUUAUGGGGUUGGGGGUCGGGGUUUAGGAACUACUUUGCCUCAUAAAUAUUUUCUUUAGUACCUCGAUAAUGUUUUCCUUUAAGAUCAGAACUUCAGAAAUUAUGGUAGCAUGUUGAGUAUUGCUGCUCUCAAGUUCUUCAUUUCUUCUUCCAAGCUGCUGAAGUAUAACAUCUUUCUCGUUGCAUUGAACCAUAUAAAUUAAAUUGAGCAAUAUGAAGCCAGCCAAGUAGUUCCUUUGAAAUACCCAUCAGCACCUCUGCAUCAUUUUCUGCCUAUAAAAACCUAAGACUUGUAGGCACGAGAGAGAUUGAAUUUUAAAAGAAAAAAGAGAGUAUAAGGGUCCAAUUCAUAAUUUGAUUUUAAGCAAGUGAAAAUGAACCAGAUUUGAAGUAUAACAUCGAUAUUACAUCAGCAAUUACAAAUUAUUUAAUUUAUUAGAGUGUCAUGAGAUAAUUGACUAAAAACAAAUUCUAGUUAGAACCUUUAAAAAACCUCACACUCUCUUCUUUCAAAAUAUCCAGAACCUUGUAGAGAAGAUAGAAAGGGAAAAGAGAAGCAGAUUAGAAAUAUAUCAACCGAAAGAAGAAGAAAAAGAUUCAUAAGCGUAGAAAUGG